UUUGAACGCUGGCGGCAGGCUUAACACAUGCAAGUCGAGCGGGGUGAUGGUGCUUGCACUAUCACUUAGCGGCGGACGGGUGAGUAAUGCUUAGGAAUCUGCCUAUUAGUGGGGGACAACAUUCCGAAAGGAAUGCUAAUACCCGCAUACGUCCUACGGGAGAAAGCAGGGGAUCUUCGGACCUUGCGCUAAUAGAUGAGCCUAAGUCGGAUUAGCUAGUUGGUGGGGUAAAGGCCUACCAAGGCGACGAUCUGUGGCGGGUCUGAGAGGAUGAUCCGCCACACCGGGACUGAGACACGGCCCAGACUCCUACGGGAGGCAGCAGUGGGGAAUAUUGGACAAUGGGGGGAACCCUGAUCCAGCCAUGCCGCGUGUGUGAAGAAGGCCUUAUGGUUGUAAAGCACUUUAAGCGAGGAGGAGGCUACUGAGACUAAUACUCUUGGAUAGUGGACGUUACUCGCAGAAUAAGCACCGGCUAACUCUGUGCCAGCCGCCGCUGUAA
RNAcentral lists this ribosomal RNA (502 nucleotides) under uncultured bacterium. RNAcentral describes it as "partial 16S ribosomal RNA". It matches the Rfam family "Bacterial small subunit ribosomal RNA", at positions 30 to 523 of the family's 1533-position model. The record is from RNAcentral.